UAUGUGAUCGUCUCUCGCAUAUCAAUAAGCGGAGGAAAAGAAACUAACAAGGAUUCCCCUAGUAACGGCGAGUGAAGCGGGAAGAGCUCAAAUUUGAAAUCUUAAAGGGUUUCCCUUUACGAAUUGUAGUUUAAAGAAGUGUUUUCUGUUGAGGGUUUUGGUAAAAGUUCUUUGGAAUAGGACAUCAUAGAGGGUGAGAAUCCCGUAUUUGACCUUUACUUUCAACUUUGUGAUACAGCUUUCAAAGAGUCGGAUUGUUUGGGAAUGCAGUCCAAAAUGGGUGGUAAAUUUCAUCUAAAGCUAAAUAUUGGCGAGAGACCGAUAGCGAACAAGUACCGUGAGGGAAAGAUGAAAAGAACUUUGAAAAGAGAGUUAAACAGUACGUGAAAUUGUCAAAAGGGAAGCGUUUGACACCAGUGUUGUUUUUCUGAAAAUCAAUUAAAGAACUGUUUAUGCUAAGUUGUUUAGACUUUAUCCAGCUAUCUGUUUAGUUUUGAGCUUUUCUUUAAUGCACUUUUCAGUUAACAAGUCAACAUCAAUUUCUUUUGCUGUAAAAAAGCUUGAGGAAGGUGGCUUGAGAUUCGUCUUAAGUGUUUAUAGCCUCUUGCCUAUGCAGUCGGAGAGAUUGAGGUCUGCAGCGUAGAUCCUUCGGGGCUAAAUGCAUUUGUGCUAAGUUAUAGCAUUUUAUAGACAACUUGUUGACUAUGAUUUGUCUUGUAGCUUACUCGCUUAUGUUAUUUUACCUACGCUUAGGAUGUUGAGUAGCGACAUACGCAC
RNAcentral lists this ribosomal RNA (777 nucleotides) under uncultured Neocallimastigales. RNAcentral's name for it is "partial large subunit ribosomal RNA". It matches the Rfam family "Eukaryotic large subunit ribosomal RNA", at positions 24 to 649 of the family's 3401-position model. The record is from RNAcentral. Lineage: Eukaryota; Fungi; Neocallimastigomycota; Neocallimastigomycetes; Neocallimastigales.